Molecule: non-coding RNA, 1053 nt
Organism: Rhopilema esculentum
Lineage: Eukaryota; Metazoa; Cnidaria; Scyphozoa; Rhizostomeae; Rhizostomatidae
Source: RefSeq, a predicted model, not a curated record
UAGACUUUAAAGGGGAACUGAAGUGAAAAAUGAAAAUCAUUUAAUUAGUAGUUUUCAUCGUGCUGAUUUCGAAUAUCGACACGAAAUUAGUGUUUUACUUUUCGUUUUCCUGCAUUUAACGCGGAAAGUGUGAAAUUUCUCCAUUUCCGUGGCGGAGAGGUCUGGAGACAAGUUUCAGGCGCUGACGUAAAGUCGUGGACACGUGCCCCGAUCGCAACGAAAACAACAUUGUAGUAGGUAGUAGAGUGAAUCGGAGGGAGGGAAUUCGGUUAGUGGUUAGAAUUUCAGUUCGCAAUUUUCACGACAGCUCUUCAGGAAUGACAACAGACUUAAGAUCGAGCGACGAUGAAGUGUUUGGAGCAUGUGGUGGUGAAGUACUUGCCCUACCAAGGGCGAACGGGACCUGCGAAAGUGGCGAUGAAGAUUAGCCUAGGCCCGAUGAGAUCCCAGAGGAUGAGGAUGAAUUAUCUCCCGCGACGUGCUCGUUUUGUUGGUAGAAAUGAGGAAGUAAAUAAAUGGUAUCUACAAACAGUGGCCGAUCAAUGUAUGGUUUGCUGGUUUUUGGGUAUUUGUGCUGGAAUAACUGGACAACUUUAAGUAUGCAUUUAUCACAAAUGUAAAGAAAAGAACUUUAGUCAAAGAAGACAAGAGUUUCAAAAUUCUGCAGAGAGACAAUGAAAAUGCAAAAAUCAGCUACCUACUACAUAUACAGUGGAGAACAGGGUUAUAUACAGGGGUUAUUCAAAAGGACCAGACUUUUUGUUCAAAAUAGCAAGAAGAGAAAUUUGUUGAAACUAGUGGGACAAUGGCCAAAUCUUGUCAGCCCUAGGCCAAAUCACUAGAUUAGUCACAUCAAGGGGGGGAGGGGUUGGGGAUUGAGCAAGGCUUGAUAUUUUCAAGAUUCCUAAGGUAUAUUUUUCAAGAUAUUUUACUCACAUCAAAAUGUGUAGAAUAGUUUGGAUUUGAUAAAGUUUUUCUCUUACAAUAAUGGUCCUGUACCACCUGCUUGGUAACAUUUUUUAUACAUAAUCAGAAGAAAAUGUUUUACCUUCA